ACGACGUCUGCAGUUUUUUGUCCUUCCGUACACGUACCGUCGCGUUUUUUUUUUUUUGCAAUUCGACAAUGUAUUGAAAAACAGAAAAAAAAACUACCGCAUUUUCGCCUGCCCGUCAAAUACAUUUCGCGGACAGUAAAAUAGAAACACGAAUUUUCGCGUCUUCUAAGCGUUUCUAGUCGGGCCGUUUAUUGAAUUUUGAAAAGUCUUGUCCUCCGCCCCCUCCCCCCUUCACAUACCUUAUAAUCCAAUUGAUCAUCGAAACGAUUAAACUACACGUGCAGAUCGAACGUGACUUGUUACGGCGGCGACGUAAAACGUAUUUUUAAAGUGGCCGUAAACGGGUGAAAUCGGCGGUUUUUUCACAGAAAAUGUACAAUAUAUAGAAUACCCUGGGUGCUCGUUAUUGUUACCUAUUUCGAUUAGAAAAAUAAUACACUUCUUCAAGGUCCGCGUAU
Molecule: non-coding RNA, 458 nt
Organism: Cinara cedri
Lineage: Eukaryota; Metazoa; Arthropoda; Insecta; Hemiptera; Aphididae
Source: the annotation of a GenBank genome assembly